AUCUCGAUUGUAAAAGGCUGGAUCGCGGAUAGGGAGCGCGAGCGUGAAGAAACCGGCCGCCAUCUUACUGUACCCACAACAGUCGCCGCAGCGAUCAUGGCAACUUCUUGCAAUUACGGUCGUACCAACCGUACUGGCAAGGUUACAGGGCCUAAAUUUAUACAGGUUUCGUCAUGAGGGCUACCCAGUGAAUAAUCUGUGCAGAGUGAUACGGCUGGGUGUACAGGUUACUUCACAGCUGCCUCGACAUACUCAAGAAAUGGGUGCAGAACCUGCGUAAUGCCCACAAACUUUGACUACCACAGCACCUCCAGAAAGUAAAGGCAUAUGUGUCACAUGGGAUUUUUAAAGGCAUUCACAGUAUAUAAUACCUUCGUAACAUGAAAAACGGUUAGGAGCAACUAAUAUUUAUUCGAACAAGAACUUUCGUGCAAGAGACUGCACUUCUUCAGGUUACACAACUACUUUUGAACUCUUUUGAACCCCAAUUCUCCGAAUGUCUCAUUUACCCGUACACCUUCUCUUUCCUGAUUCUUAUGUGACGGUUGCUCACGUGAUGCAUUGUAUUACUGUCUGGUUGUUUUGUGUUUACUUAGUUCUGGAAACCUGUUUUAUUGUAUCUGUUUACUUGGUAUAUAUACUCGUGUCGCACUUAGUUGUGUAACCUGAAGAAGUGCAGUCUCUUGCACGAAAGUUCUUGUUCGAAUAAAUAUUAGUUGCUCCUAACCGUUUUUCAUGUUACGUGUGUGAUUCCCUCUUCGCGGGCUCC
Long non-coding RNA from Ornithodoros turicata, 769 nucleotides. RefSeq lists it as uncharacterized. The transcript is spliced from 3 exons. The record is from RefSeq and is a predicted model, not a curated record. Lineage: Eukaryota; Metazoa; Arthropoda; Arachnida; Ixodida; Argasidae.